RNAcentral lists this ribosomal RNA (99 nucleotides) under Escherichia coli P0305260.11. The record is from RNAcentral. RNAcentral also lists the same sequence under 1 other name. Lineage: Bacteria; Pseudomonadati; Pseudomonadota; Gammaproteobacteria; Enterobacterales; Enterobacteriaceae.
GUGGUCCCACCUGACCCCAUGCCGAACUCAGAAGUGAAACGCCGUAGCGCCGAUGGUAGUGUGGGGUCUCCCCAUGCGAGAGUAGGGAACUGCCAGGCA